AGUGCUGUAUUGUUGAGUUUUGUAUGAACUAAUCUAGCUUCUCUAAAAAAAAAAAAAAAAAAAAAAAAAAGAAAGAAAAGAAAGAAAGAAAAGAAAGAAAGAAAGAAAAAAAAAGAAAAGAAAAAAAAGAGAACCACAGCUUUGGACAAAAGUCUAUAGCCAGUGCAUUUGAAAACUCCCCUUGCACCAGGGCUGACUGUAGCUGGGGGAAGACAUUUUACUCAUUUGCUCUUUCCUUUCAUACAGUCAGCUGGUCCCUCUUCUCAGGUGUAGAUCACCUAUUAUAAUUUUACCUAAUUUUGAUACUCUGAUAAGGAAAGUCCCAGGACUUAUCAGCUGGGAUAGGCCUCACUUACAAGACAGCUCUGUUCAGUAUUUGGAAGAAAGCCUGACAGGUUUCUUCGGAAAAGUGGCCAUCCAUGGAAUGAAUGAAAUGUUCUCUUUCUAUUCCAGGGAUUGCAGUGGCAAAGCUAGGCUAGGUCUUGGAGGCUGGUGUAAGGCGAUGUGGGUGAAGGCAGGAGGCUGAUGGAAAGACUGGGGGGAAGAAAAGCCGAAAUGGAUUCACGGUGCCUUGGAUGAAGGACGAGAGGGGAACUGCAAGCUCCUUCAACUGGUUCUGUCCGGUGAGAAGUGAUCAAGCUUGGGCUGACAAGAGGCUCAGGGAGCCCUCACGUUCUUUCGCUUUUUUACCUGCCAAUCAAACUGCUACAAGACAACACCCUGAUCUGGCAUGGACAUAUCCAACUUAGAAAUAAUGUUUCAUUCAAGAUAAGGCUCGUGGCUUAGGAGAUUGUGACCUGGCUUGCAUCAUUCUAAGACUUCUAUCGUCUGUUUUCAAAACCCAAGGAGGACCUCCUUUUCUGUGUGAUAGUUCCUCAUGCUUUGCCAGCCACUGGGUCUUUAAGGAAGCUUGCCAAGAGUUCCCGGCUGGGAAGGACAGUUCGAGUUCAUCAUAGACAAUGAGCUGGCACCACAGUUUAAGUGACUCACCAACCUGGUUGCCCACUUCAAAAUGUCAAGAACCACACUAUCUAAUUGAAAGAACUGUGUUUUAGCAAAGUGUAAUUGGAUCGCCUGGCAAGAUCAUCUCAAACUAUGUCUCUGACCUUGCCUUUCAGUGGCUAUUUUGAGCACAAGAGGAGAAAGGAAAUGAUUCCUGAAUUAUAUCUUGUUUUUAAAAAUUAAGAUUAAUUAAUACUUGGUUUUAUGUUCAUUCCAUUGUAGGAACUUAGUGAUUAUUACAAAACAGUCAAAAUAGGUCAUAGCAAAAUGAACGUUUAAGAUUAGGUUAAAACAUUCCUCUGAAAUUUUAGUAUUCACUUUUGAAGUGUCAAUUACUAUAUUUCUGUAAUUUCUCAUUUUUUUCUUGGCUUAGAGUCAAGAUGAAAAAUGAUAUUUGAAUCAAAGACAUUGUUUUGUUAUAUAGCCACUCCUUUCUAAAAUGCAAAUCCACCCUCCCCUCACCAAUGCUUUAUUCUUUGUGCGCGCACACACACACACACACACACACACACACACACACACACACAGACAUACACAGAACCAGCACCCAAAUGGUAGAGGAGGUCCUUCCAAGACUUCUAGGACCUGGAUCAUGUAAGCAGUAGAUGAGAAAAUGAAGUAAGAGAUAUAGAGUAAUAACAAUAAAAGUCAAUGAUUUCAUUUUACAAAAAAGUCAUUGUGUAGUACUCAGAUAUUUUUAAGAGCAAGUAUUAUUAUGACUAAAGUAUAUUAUACUUCUAAAUUAUUAUGAUUCUCAUCUAAUUUCAAGCCACACAUAGGCGCCAUUUGAAAGCAUUUUGUGUUACAACCUAUCAACAAAAAUCAACUAAUAGUUUUAUAACGUGCAUAGGUUUACCCCAUGGGGAAUUAAAAUUUUUAUCUGCAAGUAUUUCUGUUGUUGUGAGACUUUAGGACAAGACAACAUUUGGUGUUAACAUAGAAGAAUAUUCUAUGGCUUUUUUAGCUUUAAAGUUCAUUACUCUAAAAUAAAGUACACGUGGUAUUUUUUUCUUCCUAGUGUUCUCUUAUUAUAUGUAGAGUAUUUUCGGUUGUUGUUUUUAACGUAUACAUUAUUUUUAUUAAGUCAUUUCAUAAAAGAUAAGAUAUAUACUAAUAGACCCUUGGUUUUCUCCUAAUUUAAUUAUUUCAAGUCAAGCAAAAUUGGGCAAUUUUCUUUCAGGAAAAAAAAAAUAUUGAGCAUGAUUUUGAGGUAAAACUGAUUAUUUACAGCAUCUUUUCUCUAAUAGGCUAACAUUUAUGAUGGAUCUUAUUUCAAAGUUGAUUAUUCUCAAAGAAAAGUGGAGAUAUUAGAAUUUCCGAGUAAAUUGCAUUGUUUUAAAAAGUACUUUAAUGCAUUGUUCACAUUGUUGCCAGCUAUUGACCAAAAAAA
Molecule: small RNA, 2392 nt
Filed under: Homo sapiens (human)
Lineage: Eukaryota; Metazoa; Chordata; Mammalia; Primates; Hominidae
Description: Sox2OT-S1
Rfam family: SOX2 overlapping transcript exon 3 (bases 463-738)
Source: RNAcentral